RNAcentral lists this ribosomal RNA (497 nucleotides) under uncultured bacterium. RNAcentral describes it as "partial 16S ribosomal RNA". It matches the Rfam family "Bacterial small subunit ribosomal RNA", at positions 28 to 507 of the family's 1533-position model. The record is from RNAcentral.
GAUGAACGCUGGCGGCGUGCCUAAUACAUGCAAGUCGAGCGAACAGACGAGGAGCUUGCUCCUCUGACGUUAGCGGCGGACGGGUGAGUAACACGUGGAUACCCUCCCUGUAAUACUGAGAUAACUUCGGGACACCGGAGCUAAUACCGGAUAAUAUAUUGAACCGCAUGGUUCCAUAGUAAAAUACGGUUUUGCUGUCACUUCUCGAUGGAUCCGCGCCGCAUUAGCUAGUUGGUAAGGUAACGGCUUACCACGGCAACGAUGCGUAGCCGAACUGAGAGGGUGAUUGGCCAAACUGGAACGGAGACACGGUCCAGACUCCUACGGGAGGCAGCAGUAGGGAAUCUGCCGCAAUGGGCGAAAGCCUGACGGAGCAACGCCGCGUGAGUGACGAAGGUCUUCGGAUCGUAAAACUCUGUUAUUAGGUAAGAACAAAUGUGUAAGUAACUAUGCACGUCUUGACGGUACCUAAUCAGAAAGCCACGGCUAACUACGUG